Molecule: non-coding RNA, 2217 nt
Organism: Lonchura striata (white-rumped munia)
Lineage: Eukaryota; Metazoa; Chordata; Aves; Passeriformes; Estrildidae
Source: RefSeq, a predicted model, not a curated record
GGUGCCUUUAAAAAAAUUUUUUUGGACAGGAGCUUAAGUCAAAUGGGUUGAUCUCCAAGAAGAAAUCAAUGGUAAGUGUAAAAGAUGAUUGCUUUAUUAGAGCAAAAGGUGGUACUGCACUGUGGUUUGUUCUAGAAACAGAGAUGAGUCUGCAGGAGGGGUGAGGAGAGCUGCUCUUCUGCCAACUGUUCAGGGCUUUUUCCCAAGGGCUUUAUGCAUAUUUUGGAUACGGCCAAGUAGUAAGAUGUAAGGAUAUUGCCCUCUCUGCAGCAAGAAGGGUGGCAUUCAAGGAACAAUGAGUGCACCCUUCAGCAGGAUGUGAAACAAGGAAGCUUCAGAGAUUCAGAGAGAGCUUCUGCCACCUAUUGCAGAGCAAGCAAACACCAUGGGAUACAGGGAAGGAAGUGACUGGGAGCCAGAGAUUAAGGAACUGAAGCAAUGAUAAAUCAUGGAGAAUAUGAAUGUGAAGUCAGUGAAUCAAAAGCAGCUGACUACAACAGUGCUAAUGUGUGAAGAGUCAAUUGAGAAGUCAGGACAAGUCAUCAAAGAAUUAGUGAAGUGACUUGCACAUGUUGGUGACAGGGCUGGCAGUAGUUGCCGUGUUGGGUCCAUAUGAUAGCCUGGGUUUAACAAGAUGGACAUCAUUGUGCCAAUAACUUAUUUGUUCUGGUCACUGAACAAAACACAAAUACAUGCAGCACUGUGAAAUGAGUAAUAUUUCAUUCUAGAAAACAGAAGCAACAUUCAUGAACAACUAAAUUUCAUUAGAAUUGACAACCACAGUGAUGGGCAGAUGGUGUCACACCUUGCUGCCUUGUCUGGAUCAAACACUUUGUGUGACUGAUAAUGGGAAAAUCUCUCUUGGAAAAUUUCUCUCUCCCUUCCAGGUUAACACUACCUGCCCUUUUUAGUGUCCCAAUAUUACAGAGCAGCAGAGGCAUCUUUGAAUUUAUUUUUAAAUAUCAAGGAAAAAGUAUUUACUAAUGCCCAGUAAAUAUGCAAAUAUGUAAGGGUGGCAUCUUGACAGAUCCAUCAUAAGGGACUUGUCCUGUGGGGUGAUACAACCUGCUUGUUUGAGCAUUUGGACAGCAAAAUCUGAGUUUGAGCAUCUUUAAAUAGAAAGAGAUUUGAAAUCUUGUGGUUUUUGGUCCAUGAAAAUGACACAUAACUACCCAAAUAAAAAUAAUGCCUUUAAUUUUUUUGAUUCUAGAAAUAUUUUCAGCCUAACUUCAUUCAGUUUUUCAACCAACUGAUAUGAGGUUUGUGGUAAAGUCAACCAUCAGAAAUGAAAGAAAGGCUGCUCAUCAGUGUUAUGCUUCAAUAUGAAGUUCUUGCUUACAGCAGAGCAGUGAUGGUUUUCAAAUAGACAGCUUAGCUUCAAAGAUACACUUAAUGAGCAAGAGGGAACAACUGUUUUGACUAUAGAGGGAAUGACUAUAGACUGAAAAUUAAGGUGAAACACAUAUUUUUUGUCUGCAGUACAUAGCAGCACCACCACUAAAUGCAUGGCAUUAGUAACAUAAAUUGCAUCCCAUUUUAUUCCAUAUUGUGACAGUACAUGCCCAAAGGAAACACAGAAGGAGAAAAUCUACAGACUGAAACAGGGAGGACAGGGGGCAAAUUGUGGAAAUACUUCAUGCCUAGAAUGUUGCUGAGAUACAGAUAACAGUACUGUAGUCUCAAAUAGUCUGGAUCUGCUAUAGGAAAGUCAGUGAAAUCACUUGUGUAACAGAAUGGCUGUUAAAUUUCAAAAUAUUUGUCAGCUUCUGCCAUCUGAUGAUCAUCUUGACUCUAGAGAAAGCUCCAUUCCUCCCUCCAAAGAAAACCACCAAAAAACAAGAGAAGCUAUAUCUGUUCAGCUCAGCAAGUCUUCUAAAGGUGUCUCUGUCUAGUUCUCGGAGUUAUCUGAAAUAGUGCCAUCUCAAUAUCUGCUUUAAAGAUGGGAAUGGAGAUAUUGGCAAUAAAAAGGAACACAGUGCAAAUUUGACAAGUAAACGUGUAUUUUGGACAAUUCCUGAGUGACAGGCAAUGAAUGUGCAUAACAGUGGAGCAGAAGUGGAUGGAACUUCAUUUGUGUAUGAUGAUCAUCUGUCUCUCAGUAAGCUGUGGCAUCAAGUUGUGAAUGUAAUGUGUGUGACUGAAGCCCAGUUUCUACCAUAAAAUGAGCCAAUGGAACAGUUGAAGUACUGGCAUUUCUUGCUGCUGUUCUGCUCUCUU